UAUUAUUUUGUGUGUAAAAUUAAAAACUAAGGUAGUAAUAGUAUAAGGUCUAAAAACUUAAAGAAUUUGACGGUAUUUUAAUCUUUUCAGAGGAAUCUGUUCUAUAAUUGAUAAUACACGAUAAUAAGUACUUGAUUUAAUUAAUAAUUUGUAUACCGCCGUCGUAAGAUUAUUUUUUGAGAAAUGAAAAAUUUCAAAUUUAUAAAUUGAUUUAGAUGUCAGGUCAAGGUGCAGUUUAUAAUUAAGAAGAAAUGGAUUACAAUAUAAUUAUAUAAAAUGGAUUAAAAUUUUAAAAAUUUAUGAAGGUGGAUUUGAAUGUAAAGUUGUUUAUGGCAAUUUGAUAAUAGCUCUAGAGUAUGUACAUAUCGCCCGUCGCUCUCGUUUUUAUAAUUAUGAG
RNAcentral lists this ribosomal RNA (397 nucleotides) under Absonemobius guyanensis. RNAcentral's name for it is "partial 12S ribosomal RNA". Lineage: Eukaryota; Metazoa; Arthropoda; Insecta; Orthoptera; Trigonidiidae. The record is from RNAcentral.